UAGUAACUGCGAGUGAAGCGGGAAAAGCUCAAAUUUAAAAUCUGGUAGUCCUUGCGGCUGCCCGAGUUGUAAUCUAGAGAAGCGUUAUCCGCGCUGGACCGUGUACAAGUCUCCUGGAACGGAGCGUCAUAGAGGGUGAGAAUCCCGUCUUUGACACGGACUACCAGGGCUUUGUGAUGCGCUCUCAAAGAGUCGAGUUGUUUGGGAAUGCAGCUCUAAAUGGGUGGUAAAUUCCAUCUAAAGCUAAAUAUUGGCGAGAGACCGAUAGCGAACAAGUACCGUGAGGGAAAGAUGAAAAGAACUUUGGAAAGAGAGUUAAACAGUACGUGAAAUUGUUGAAAGGGAAACGCUUGAAGUCAGUCGCGUUGGCCGGGGAUCAACCUUGCUUUUUUGCUUGGUGUACUUUCCGGUUAAUGGGUCAGCAUCAAUUUUGACCGGUGGAUAAAGGUUAGGGGAAUGUAGCAUCUUUGGAUGUGUUAUAGCCUUUGGUUGCAUGCAUCGGUUGGGAUUGAGGAACUCAGCACGCCGCAAGGCCGGGUUUUUUAACCACGUACGUGCUUAGGAUGCUGGCAUAAUGGCUUUAAUCGACCCGUCUUGAAACACGGACCAAGGAGUCUAACAUGCCUGCGAGUGUUUGGGUGGAAAACCCGAGCGCGUAAUGAAAGUGAAAGUUGAGAUCCCUGUCGCGGGGAGCAUCGACGCCCGGACCAGACCUUUUGUGACGGUCCCGCGGUAGAGCAUGUAUGUUGGGACCCGAAAGAUGGUGAACUAUGCCUGAAUAGGGUGAAGCCAGAGGAAACUCUGGUGGAGGCUCGUAGCGAUUCUGACGUGCAAAUCGAUCGUCGAAUUUGGGUAUAGGGGGCGAAAGACUAAUCGAACCAUCUAGUAGCUGGUUCCUGCCG
Molecule: ribosomal RNA, 902 nt
Filed under: Atractosporocybe inornata
Lineage: Eukaryota; Fungi; Basidiomycota; Agaricomycetes; Agaricales; Lyophyllaceae
Description: eukaryotic LSU rRNA
Rfam family: Eukaryotic large subunit ribosomal RNA
Source: RNAcentral